RNAcentral lists this ribosomal RNA (469 nucleotides) under uncultured bacterium. RNAcentral describes it as "bacterial SSU rRNA". It matches the Rfam family "Bacterial small subunit ribosomal RNA", at positions 28 to 507 of the family's 1533-position model. The record is from RNAcentral.
GAUGAACGCUAGCGGCGGGCCUAAUACAUGCAAGUCGAACGGUGCAGCAAUGCAUAGUGGCAGACGGGUGCGUAACGCGUAUGCAACCUACCUUUUAUCGGGGGACAACAUUUCGAAAGAAGUGCUAAUACCGCGUAAGAUAGUAGUGGGACAUCCCACAGCUAUUAAACUUUCGGGGAUAGAAGAUGGGCAUGCGUCUGAUUAGCUAGUUGGCGGGGUAACGGCCCACCAAGGCGACGAUCAGUAGGGGAACUGAGAGGUUGAUCCCCCACACUGGCACUGAGAUACGGGCCAGACUCCUACGGGAGGCAGCAGUAGGGAAUAUUGGGCAAUGGACGGAAGUCUGACCCAGCCACGCCGCGUGCAGGAGGAAGGCGCUCUGCGUUGUAAACUGCUUUAGCAGGGGAAGAAAAGACUCAUGCGUGAGGAAUUGACGGUACCCUGAGAAUAAGCACCGGCUAACUACGUG